AGCCGGCCGUCUUGAUUGAAUAUGAGUGUCACCCUUUCAAGCAAUUGAGCCGCAUUCCGGUUGAUGAUAUUUUGAUUUUUCAGCAACAUCAUCUGUCUCUGUCUAUUGGCUUCAGCGCCGCAUCAAUCAUCGCGAUCGCGUUCGUGACGCCAUAGACCGCGACGAACGAUCCGAAGCGUGGGCCUUUCUCCUGGCCGAGCAGCACCUGAUAGAGCAUGUUGAACCAGUCGAGCGAGACGCCCGGACGGCCGUCCUUGCCUUUCUUCA
This 267-nucleotide unclassified non-coding RNA is filed under the name Hevea brasiliensis (rubber tree). Lineage: Eukaryota; Viridiplantae; Streptophyta; Magnoliopsida; Malpighiales; Euphorbiaceae. The record is from RNAcentral.